Long non-coding RNA from Musca domestica (house fly), 1767 nucleotides. RefSeq lists it as uncharacterized. The transcript has 3 exons. The record is from RefSeq and is a predicted model, not a curated record. Lineage: Eukaryota; Metazoa; Arthropoda; Insecta; Diptera; Muscidae.
UAAAGCAAGAAAAUCUAAAAUAAAUAAAAACAAGUAAAAAACAGCUAAGUUCGGCCGGGCUGAACUUUUAAUGCACUCCACCAUUUGGAAGAAACUUGACAAAUUAAAAAAAAUCCGAAAACUACUACUUAAGUGUGGACUAUAUGAACAGAAAAUACCGAAUAUCGGGAGUUACCGUUAUAUGGGGGCUAUACGAAAACGUGGACAGACAUGGCCCAUUUACGAACUUAACCUGCCUAUUGGGAAAAUAUGCAUGUAAGGAAAAUUUUAGCCAACUAUUUCAAUUCGUUCGAAAGAUAGCGUGAUUACAACAGACAGACGGACGGCUAAAUCGUCUUAGAAUUUUACGCUGAUCCAGAAUAUAUAUACUUUGUAAGGACUAUCAUGAAUAUUUCUAGGAGUUACAAACGGAAUGACAAUGCUAAUAUACCCCUCAUAGAAUGGUGAAGGGUAUUAAAAAAAAUUAAAGGCAAAAUCGUAAAUUUAUUGCAAGAAUUAUUAUAAUAUUUAGUUCAGCAUAUUUAAUUUUUUACCAUUGCAAAUCAAAUGGCAGACAAGUAAAAUUUUUUGUUUUUAUACGUACGAAAAAUGUGAAUGAAUGAAAUAAAAAUUUGAUUGUCUGGGUAGUAAUUGCUUGUCUGCCUUGAAGAAAAGUUCUGUGAAGACUUCCAUACUUUAGGUCAUGUUUUGAAUGCAAGUUUUUCGAUAGCUUAAAAGAGAUCCUCCAUCAUCAUAAAGGGCACAAAAUUUUAAUUUUAAAUUCCAAUUUUAGUCACCCCUUAGAGCGCCACUACUCCUACGGUCAGUUUAUUAUGGCAGGGCUCUUCUGUGUUCGGUCUGUAGACAAACAGGUUUUUCUUUCGCCCAACAGCAACGAACAUAGCCCGACACACCAAAAAUGUACAUGUUGCCAUAUUUCAUCUGAAUACUUGUUUGUGAUCAGUUGACGCAAUAAAAUCGAAUAAUCCGUUUCACUCUCCCCCCCCAACCCAAAAAAAAAAACACACACAUUCUAUAAACUGAACGAGAGAGCAAAAGAGCAGACAUUCGAAAUAAAACGUUUAUAUUAUCAGGCACUUGACACACACAUACAUCCAUUUUGUGUCGACGGAUGUCGAUAUACGAGAUAUAGUGAAUACACAUGCACUCUGGUCGUCUUCCUGAGUCAUACAAAGCCACUGAGUGAAAAGCGGUAACACAGCAAGACAGCACAAGGCAACAACACCACAAUGCGUUGGAACUGCUUGCCAUCCAUUCAUUCAGUCAGCCAGCAAGCAGAGCAAUGGUGUACAUUGAGUUUUUGUUCUUUUGUGUGUAGCCGAAGCUGUUGCUUCGUUGUUUAUGCUUACGUAGAAGUUUGUGCAGCUGUUAAAUGUGGCAACAAUGCCCAGCCUAAGCAGACAGAAUGUCGCCACUUCAUGCGAUUUUACCAGACAUAGUGUCGACGUUUAGAUUUAAGUCGAAAUGCCUUACCUUGCUUUGAGUUUAUUCAAUUCAACAACUGCAUAUGAAACAACAACUGAGUAUACCAUUCAACCAGUCAGUCAAGUCAACAAAUCAACCAUUAAAACGCGUGGUUUUCUAUAAGUCUGUCCAUCAGUCUGCCGGUCUGUCUGAUGAGAUGUUUAGUAAGCACGAUAUACAUUACACAUAUGUAUGUAUCCUAUAUACGUAUAUGUACCUAAAUAAAUGCAAUAAAUACGUACCGUAGAUUUCUACAUAUAUAUAUAUAUAUAUAUAUAUAUAUAUAUAUAUAUAUAUAUAUAU